AGCUUUUGACAUGUCCGGUAUGAUUUCCAGAGAUGGAUUUCUUCAGUUCGGCUGGCCGGAACACAGGUGCUGCAUGGCUGUCGUCAGCUCGUGUCGUGAGAUGUUGGGUUAAAGUCCCGCAACGAGCGCAACCCUCGCCCUUAGUUGCCAUCAUUCAGUUGGGCACUCUAAGGGGACUGCCGGGUGAUAAGCCGCGAGGAAGUGGGGAUGACGUCAAGUCCUCAUGGCCCUUACA
RNAcentral lists this ribosomal RNA (235 nucleotides) under uncultured bacterium. Its description in RNAcentral is "partial 16S ribosomal RNA". It matches the Rfam family "Bacterial small subunit ribosomal RNA", at positions 977 to 1206 of the family's 1533-position model. The record is from RNAcentral.